Molecule: ribosomal RNA, 61 nt
Filed under: Photobacterium damselae
Lineage: Bacteria; Pseudomonadati; Pseudomonadota; Gammaproteobacteria; Vibrionales; Vibrionaceae
Also listed under: 1 other name
Description: partial 16S ribosomal RNA
Source: RNAcentral
ACUUUAAUUGAAGAGUUUGAUCAUGGCUCAGAUUGAACGCUGGCGGCAGGCCUAACACAUG